CGCCGGCUCGGAACUCGUGCGGAGCGCCGCGAGCGCGGCGGAGGCAGAGGCGCGCUGACUGCCACCUCCAGCCCGUGCCGGAGGGACAGCACGCGCUGCGCAACGGAGACCGUUCUCCUUGGCCGCCGCUCACGGCUCGCGGCGACCACCGCCGUUGAAGCUGCAGGCGGGCAGCCGUGCGUCUCCCGGGACAGCCAGCCCCGGCGGCUGCUCCUCCCGGAUGCCAGGGCCAGGGCGCCGGGCGGCCGCCAGCAGGAGAAUGAAGAGCUCGGUGGGAGGAAGGAGAGAAAAGCUCCUGGGGGCGCCGAAAGCUCAGCCCAGCCGCGGUUAACACUGUGCCUGCACAAUCAUCUUCAUGGAAAUAGAUACUACUGUGUCAUGCUGGGGUUUAAAAGAAUGCUUUGUUACUUCUUGAUGCCUAUAGGAUAAAGAAUCAACUCUUCAGCCUGGAGUAAGGAACAUUUUUACAGUCUUCGCCAGUGUGCCUCUUGAUUGUCAUUUGUAUCUUCUCAACUCAGCAAUAUACCUAUGCUUCACCACAGUGGACUUGUUAAACUUAUUCAAACAUGCCUCAUGUUUUAUGGCCUAUGUGAAAACGUUAAUUCUUUUUUAUGUCAUGCUCUUUUCCAUGCCAUCUCUGUCUGACACACAUGAAUCAGCCUUCAGUAGCCAAAGCCAGCUUCUCUGCUUCUCUAUCAAUGCAGCCUUCCUCAGGUACCUAGAAAGCAUUAGUCAAAUGAGAUGAUACAUGGUAAAUACUUAGCACAAUGCACAGCACCCAAUAAUCAUUAAAUAAAUGGUAAUUUUCUUUAACAGUAGUAGUUUUCUUUUCUUUGCUCCCAUGAACUCUGCUCAUAUCUUUGUCAUACCGCAUUAAAUAAUAUAACAAUCUACUUAAACAUACUCACCUCAUCUUAAGACUGUAACUUAUCAGAAGGCAAGAUCUGCAUCUUAAGUAUCUUUCUGUUGGGUUUAUUUCCCCCACACAACAAUCGAUACUUACUCUUUUCUGAUUAAAAGACAUCAAAACAAUGUUUAAAUCAGGGAAAAAUUAGUUUAUUGGUAUAAAAUCUAAUGACCAGUACCCCUCCCCUCAAUUUCCUUUCAUAAGAGUUGGCUAAAACAUGUGCUAAGCAUGCAAUUGUAUAAACCUUGCUAAAUCAAUUCUUUGAAAUUCUGAGGCAAAUAAUAUUAUCACAGUCUAAUGUUUACAUCCAAGUAGAGGAAAACAAAAGUCUUUAGUUUUGGAAAUGUGUCAUCCUCCCUCUCUCCCUUCCCUGAGUUCCUUAUUCUUAUGUAUCGAUUUGAAUUAGGUUGCAUUUCAAUUUCAGCUUUUAAAUAACAUUUAUUGAAUGUUUAAUAUGUGCCAAAAACUAAGCUAAGCACUUUGCAAGCAUUAUCCAUUUAGUCUUGGUCAGAGUCCUGUGAGGUAGGUCGCCCAAACCUUAUUUUACAAAGGAGGGAAUUGAACUUUCAAAGGCUGUGUGAGUUUCCCAGGUCUAUGUAACACUCAGUGACUCAAGUGAACCUAAAAUUAGUGUCUCUAAGAUCCCAAGCUCAAACUCUGAACCACUGUGCUAUAUUAUUUCCCUGUGUGUAGAGGUAGGUCUAAGGCAAUGGUACUCCACAAAGAUGAGGGGGUGAUUUUACCUGCCCCCAUUUAAAGGGUCAUUUGGCAAUGUUGGAGACAUUUUGGUUCUCACAAAUGGGGGAGGGAUUCACUACUGACAUCUAAUGGAUAGAAGCCAGGGAUGCUGGCUCAGGAGAAAGCCCAAGACAGCCCUCCACCAAAAUGUCAAUAGUGCUGAAGCUGAGAAAUCCUGGUCUAAGGUAAAGGUGGAGAAACCUGUAAAAUUAUGAAUAGCCACUUAAGAGAUUUCCAAGUAGAUAAAUGAGUUGGAGAAAGAGGUGUUGAGGAAGGGGUUACAUACAACCAACCAUUGUAAUACAUGGUAUUAUAUUUGUUUGUUUGUUUUUUGUGGAAGACAACCAUUACCAUAGAAAUACUGAUGGUGGAGUGCUUACGCCUCUUAUAGAACUUAAAACAAGAAAACAUCAUCUUAAAUUGUUGAGGGAAGAAGUUACAGUAGACACCUAUGUAAAGAUGAUACUUAAGCACUCAUGUAAACGGAUUCUUCUUUUCACGUCUACUUUAAAACAUCAGGUUUUCAAGUCUUGAUUAUUUUAGCAAAUGUUUGUCAGCUAAAUCUUUCAAAUUUGGUGGAAAAUUUUUUCCUUACCUGAAUAAAUACUGAAAUUGCAAGUGGCUCAGUAGUUAGUCUAGUGCAUUUUUCAGGCAUGAUGUUUUUAUUCUUCUGAGGUAAGGGCGAUUGAUUGGUGUUGUCCUGAUUCCAAGCUUCAUGCCUGGAAGGUCUUUAGAUGGGCAGAGAAAUGUGAAAACCCACUCUACUGAAACAUUUGGUCGAUUCUCAAGUCCUCAUUAAUAAAGUUCUUGAAGGGUCUUUGGAUCCCAUGGAUUAAGGUAUUUUUGGCAAGAGGAAUUUAGUUUUAAAGCCACUGAGGUACCCACAGAUUCACUCUAAACUCUCCACUGACAGUAC
Pan troglodytes (chimpanzee) is the source of this 2561-nucleotide long non-coding RNA. Lineage: Eukaryota; Metazoa; Chordata; Mammalia; Primates; Hominidae. The record is from Ensembl.